Parelaphostrongylus tenuis is the source of this 74-nucleotide non-coding RNA. Lineage: Eukaryota; Metazoa; Nematoda; Chromadorea; Rhabditida; Metastrongylidae. The record is from the annotation of a GenBank genome assembly.
GCGUCGGUGGUGCAAGGGAUAGAGCACGCUCCCCUGAAUUUAGUGAAAUGCGGGUUCAAGUUCCGCCUGGCGCA